AUAUUGGACAAUGGACGCAAGUCUGAUCCAGCCAUGCCGCGUGAAGGAUGAAUGCCCUCUGGGUUGUAAACUUCUUUUAUAGGGGAAGAAAGAUACUUUUUUUAAGGUAGUUGACGGUACCCUAUGAAUAAGUACCGGCUAACUCCGUGCCAGCAGCCGCGGUAAUACGGAGGGUGCAAACGUUAUCCGGAUUUACUGGGUUUAAAUGGUGCGUAGGCGGGCAUGUAAGUCAGUGGUGAAAUACCGGAGCUUAACUUCGGAACUGCCAUUGAUAUUAUAUGUCUUUAAUAUUGUGGAGGUAAGCGGAAUAUGUCAUGUCGCGGUGAAAUUGAUAGAUAUGACAUACAACCCCGAUUGCGGAGGCAGCUUGCUACGCAAAUAUUGACGCUGAGGCACGAAAGCGUGGGGAUCAAACA
Molecule: ribosomal RNA, 416 nt
Filed under: uncultured bacterium
Lineage: Bacteria
Description: bacterial SSU rRNA
Rfam family: Bacterial small subunit ribosomal RNA
Source: RNAcentral